Molecule: unclassified non-coding RNA, 411 nt
Filed under: Hymenodictyon leandrii
Lineage: Eukaryota; Viridiplantae; Streptophyta; Magnoliopsida; Gentianales; Rubiaceae
Description: partial external transcribed spacer
Source: RNAcentral
UGGAGCAGCGACGCCCGUCCGUGCACGCCCCAUCAGUCUUCGGCCCGAGCGCGACUUCGCCUCGGCCGCGAGCGGGUUUCCUGUGUUGCGUACCUACCGAAAUGGAAUUCGGCUGUCCCAACGAUCGCACGUCCGGCUCGGCGCUGCCCCUCCGGGGGCGUGGCGUCGGGCGGACCUCGAAGCGACGCCCGCGUUCCGGGUCGCGCACGUCACGUGCUGCCGUCCCGGCCCGCGGACCGUCGCUCGGGCUCUCGGAUGCGGAACACUCGGAGGGUGCGGGGUCGUCGUUUCGACCCCCGUUUGCCCGGAACGAAAAAAUAAAGUUACCGAACGACGGCCGUCGUUCCGCCGAGGCGUCGGACCCCCGUGUCCGCCGUCCUCCCGGGGCGCCGGCGUCCGUGAGGAAUGCUA